Molecule: long non-coding RNA, 9577 nt
Filed under: Solanum lycopersicum (tomato)
Lineage: Eukaryota; Viridiplantae; Streptophyta; Magnoliopsida; Solanales; Solanaceae
Description: long non-coding RNA (SLYC_LNC000759)
Source: RNAcentral
CCAAAGCAACAAACAUGAAUGUUCUUGUGACGGAGCAAGUGUAUUCUGUUUUCUUGUUUUUGAUUUCAUUCCAAGCUUAUGAAGGGGAUUGUGUUUUUGAUUUCAUUCCAAGAGAUCAAACAAAACAUACGCUUGUGUUUUCUGGAGAACACAUUAAGUUAGAAGACAACAUUAGCAUCUAAACAAUACAAACACGACUAUACAAGUUAAUAAACCAAAUACUACAAUAGGAAAAUGAAAAUUCAAUUUCAAAACCAAGCAAAAUAAGAACCUAUUGUACCCUAACAUUAGUAUGGAUAAUACUUGGACCAAUGGAGGGGAUGGAAGCGUAAAGAGAAUAUUCAGAAAGAUGAGAGAUGUAAGGAUGAAGGUGUGUUUUAUUUAUGAGGAAAGCUCCUCUAUUUAUAUACAAAAUUUACAAACUUUUGGCCAAAAGUGGCCGACACAUACUUUACACAUGGCCUCUCUUUAUUCGGCCGACACAAGAAAACAAAAUACUUACUAUUACUACUUUAUAUAAUUGGCCGACAAACUUUUUACAUGAUUGGCUGACAAACUAUUUACUUUACGACUUUUAUACAAUUUGGCUUUUUAUAGCCGACGCAACACGACAAAAAUAAAAUUAUUUCUUUCUACAUAUGGCUGAUAUUCAGCCGACACAGAAUUUUAAUAAAAUACAAUUUUUUUUUUACUUAUUCGAUUUGUACGUCUGGUAUGACAUUAUCUUCUCCUUGACAUUUUGAACAUAUAUGGUCGGGGUAUUUUUGUCCAAUAAUUUUGCAAUAUCUGGUCAAUAAUUCUUCCGAAAUAAACCCUUUCCUUAAUGCUCUUGUUGUUGGUUUUUGCUCUGGCUUGAGUAGACUAAGUAUCCAUUGGCGUAUCUCUUCCAUAUCUUGUUCUCUGGUUUCUUUAGAAUUUGAAUAUAUCAUAACUUGCUCUCGUACAUAAUAGCUCCAUACUGAGUUUCCGUUUAAAUAAUUGUUAGUUAGUUCAUUUAGGAUAGUUGCUAUUCCUAUAACUCUUUUGUUGGCGUAGAAUUCUGGUAUCUCAAUCUUUUGUAUUUCUUGUUGUAUUCCGAUAUCUUCUGGAAUUAUCAUAUCUCUGGUCAAACCAAUUUUUAUAACUUGUAUAAUUGGUUUUAUCUCAUCAAAUAAUAUCUCUGCUGGUGCUGAAUAAAACUUUAUAUAAAACAAUGUUCCUUUAGUAAUUCUUUUAUAGUUCAUAAAGGCUUUGUAUAGCUCUGGUAUGGUAGAUAUUUCAUCUCCUGUUUGGGUAUAAACUGUAUUAAGUAAUCCAUAACUAUAACAUGUUUUUACUAGAUUUGCAUUGGUGCCCGGUUGUGCUAUUAACUUAUUAUAUCCUUGUAGCUUUUGGGUUAUAAAAUCAGUGUUAGGGUUUUUGGUAGUUGGAGAUCUAGGUGUUGAGUUUAAAUAAUUUUGGAUUUUAUAAAGGUUUUCAAUAUAUGAGCGGGUUAUGUGGUUGUAGGCUUUUUUAUCUUGGUUUAAACUUUCUGAGUAAGUAUGUAUUUGCGGUGGUAUAAAUAAUGAGUCUUUUUGGUUCUUUGGAAUAAAUGGUUUAUCGAAGAUUUUGUUCAUAUUUAAAUUUGUAUAUCUUAUUCCACUAGCUCCUUUUGUUGUAGAUGUGCUUGCUGUAGCUGCAUUUAAACAAACAUUGUCAUGGGUUUUAUCGAGUUUCCCAACGUCUCCUUCUAGUUCUGGCUUUUUACCGUCUGCCGAACGACGUAGCUCCACAUUUUUAGAGUCAUGCUGCUGACUUGUAGAUUCUUCCUUUUCUUCUAGCUUUUGAAUUCUCAAUCCCAUACUGUCCACUUUUGUACAAAGUGUAGUUAGGGUUUUGAGUAUGUUUUCCAUAACAUUAUCUUGUCCUGGCUGUGUAACUCUGUCUUGAUAAAUAGUCUGCAAUCAUAUUUUUGUCAGUUUUUAUUACCUCAAUUGUAAAUGUAAAAUUUAGUAUGUUUAAUACUAGUCUCCUUAUUUCUUUUGUUGUAACUGAAUCAUCUAAUUUUUUCGUUAUCCACCAUUUUACUUGUGUGUUAUCUGUUCUUACAAUAAAUUUAUUGUAAACAAUAUAUGGUUCAAAUGCUAAUAAACAUUUAUAUAAUGCGAAUAAUUCUUUUCUAUUUAUUUCCCAUUUUAUUUGUGCUUCUGUAUAAGAUCCUGAAUAAUAUCUACAAUGGUGUUCUAUUUUUUCUUUUUCAUAUUUGUAUUUUAAAACUCCUCCAUAACUAUGAUCACUUGAAUCUGUUUCGACAAUAUAAGUAAAUGUUUUAUUUUCAUCAGGAAAAUAUAGUUUUGGUAGUUUUUUACAUAAAUUCUUAAUAUUUCUUAUAUGUUUUUUAUCUUUAUCAUCAAAAUGAUAUUCUACAUCUUUUUUAAGUUUUUUAUGUAAUGGUUUUAGAUGUUCUGCUAAUUUUGGUAUAUAUUCUCUUACCUGAUUUACUAAUCCUAGAAAGGAUUAUAAUUUCUUUUUUGUAUCUAUAUUUUCAUCAAUAGUAAUUAUUUUUUGUACUAUAUGUGUUUGCAUUUUUAUUCCAUUUUUAUCUAUUUGUAUUCCUAGAAAUUCUAUUUGUGAUUUCAUAAUUUCUGCUUUUCUUUUACUCAAACUUAUACCUGCAUUUUUUACUAUAUGUAUAAAUUUUUCCAAUAAUCUUAUAUGUUCAUCUUGUGUUCUAGAAUAUAAUAAUAUGUCAUCUAUAUAUACAAUACAGUUUUCUAGCUGGUUAAAACAGUUAUCCAUAAAAUGUUGGAAUCUACCUGGUGCAUUUUUAUAUCCAAAAGGUAAAACAUUCCAUUCAUAGAAACCUUGCGGUACUGUGAAUGCUGUUAAUUGUUUAGAUUCUUCUUCUAGUUUUAGGUGGUAAAAUCCUGAUUUGCAGUCAAAUUUACUGAAAUAAUUAUAUCCUUGUAUUUGUCUUAUUUUUAGUAUUUUGUUUGGUAUUGGAUAAUUGUAUGUUUUGGUUUUAGCAUUUAGAUUACGAUAAUCUAUGACCAUUCUACUUUUACCUCUUUUUUGUUCACUAUGUUUUAUUACUAUAAAUGCUGGACUUGUAUGUUUACUAUUGCUUUUUUGUAUGUAAUUAUUUUCUAACAAUUCAUUUAUAUGUAUUUUAAAUUCUUCUAGAUCAGCAAAGUUAUAUUUUAAUGGUUUUUGUGUUAUUAUACUAUUUUCAUCUAUUAAUUCAAUUUUUACUUUUGUCUUAUGUUUUUCCCAUCCUUGUAAUGGAUCUUCACUAUAUAAUUGUUCUAUUUGUUCAUUAAUUAAUUUGACUUUGUCUAUAACAAAUAUAAUAAUUUCUAAUUGCGUUAUUUGUUUAUUAUUUAUAUUUUCCAUUUCUUGGUUUAUCUUUUCACUUCCUUUUAUCCAUUCCAUAGUUUUUCGUUGUUUAUUAUUUACUCUUUUUGCUCCUAUCUUAUUUCCGCAUGGUGUAGUAAGCCACCAAUGUGUUUUUGUUAUUAUGUGUGGAUAAUAUUUAUCUAAAAAUGGCAUUCCUAAUAACAUAUCUUUUGUAGUAAAUUCAAAAUUAUACAUUUCUUCUAUUGUUAGUAUUUUAUCCCAUAUUUGUAUUUUUAUAUUUUUUGCUUUGUAUUUAAUCAUACUUCCUUCAUUGUUAAAUCCCGUUACUACCAUAGGUGUUUUUAAUUUUUCCCAUUUAUCUUCUGGUAGGCAAUUAUAUUUACAUAUAUUCGCUUCUGCUCCUGUAUCUAUCAUAGGUGUAUAAUAUCUGUUGUAAUAUCCUUCUACUAUAAUUUUUGCAAGUAUAAAUAUUUUCAUUAAUCAUUUUGUCCUUUUUAUAAUUAUUUUCUUAUUUUGACAAGUUAUUGUUAAUUGUUCAUUUUCUAUGUUGUAUGGUUUAACUUUUUCUAACCAUUUUAUUCCUAAUGUAAUAUUAUGAUCUCCUUGGCAUAUUUUGAAUUGUAUUAUUAAGAGUAUUCCUCCUAUAAUUAUUUCUUUUUCUGUUGUUUCUUCAUUCGUGUUUACUAUCUCACUAGGUAGUCCAGGGCAUGUAUGUCCUGUUCUUAUAAUUUCUUCUUCUAAUACUAACUCUCUUGUUAUAUAAUUUUCUUCUUGUCCUGUAUUUAUUAAUAUUUUAUAUUUUCUUUGGUCUAUUAUUCCUGUUAUGAAAUAAUGAUAUGGUGUUAUUUCUUCUUUAUCUAAUAGGCUUUGUGGAAUUUCAUAUUUUCUUUUAGAUGUACUCAUCCUUGAUGAGGUGACUCUUGUCAAUGUAUUUGGUACGCUUGAAGUGCUUAAUCUUUCUUUUACUAUCUCUAAAUCUUCUUCUAUAUCAAUUUCUUUAUAGCUAUAGUCAUUAUUGUCUAUUACAGUAAUUAUUUUUUCAAAAGGAUUUUCUAUUUUUAUUUUGUUAAUUUUAUUUUUUGCUGUUAUUUUAUGCUUUGUUGUUAGUAUAUAUAAAUUUUUACAUCUUGCUGUAAAUAAUUUGCUUCCUGGUGCUAGUUCUAUUCCAGACAUUUUCCAAUAUAGAACUAAUGAUCUAUCUAUGUUUUUAUCUGUUAAUGAUACUGUAUAAUUAGCACUUAUUGUAAAUUUAAAUUUUUGAUAUAUCAAGUUUCCUUUUACUGCACUAAUUACGCUUUUUUCUAUAGGGUGUACAAUUCUAUCAUCUGCUAAAUAUAUUUCUAUAGGUGUAUCUAUUCCUUCUCUAAAGCAGGCUUUUAUUAAUAUUUCUGUUCCUCCUAAAUGUACAUAUUUUAUUGGUGAUUUAGCUUUUAUAUCUUGUAUUUCUUUGUUUAUCAUUCUUUUAUUUAUUAUAGGUAUAUAUGUUUUUCCUCUUGUGUAUUUGCAAUCUAUGAUAUGUUCUUUUUGGCUAACUACAUAGUAUUCUUCUUUUUGUCUUUUAAACAAAUUUCUUAAAAUAGGUAUUUCUAAUACUUUUUCAACACUUAAAUCUAAUUCUUUUCCUUUUAUUUGUUCAAAUAUCGUAUUAUCAAAUAUAAUUUUCUGUUCUGAUGAUUCUUCAUUUUGAUAUUCUUCCUUAGAUAUUAUUUUUAUUUCAUUUUCAGACAUUAUAUUUCUUCAUCUGUUUCAUUAUUAUCUAUGUUAAUAUUUUCUUCUUCAUUCUCAGUUUCUAUAUCUGAUACUUCAUAUAUACUAUCAUUUUCACUUAAUUCAUAAUCUAUGUACUCUAUUUGCAUAUAUUUUUCAUUAUCUAUAAUUAAUUCUGCUAUCUGUUUUCUUUUUGGAUUUUUGGGUAAUUUACAAUCUUUAGCUAUGUGUCCUAUCUUUCCACAAUUAUAACAAGUACAUUGGGAUAUCUUUCUUUUCGGUCUGUAUGGUCUUUUUAUUUUAUAGUUUUUUACAUAAUACCUUCGUCUUGGUUGUUUAUAUUUAUAUAUAGAUUUCUUUUUUCUAUAAUUUUUAUAUCUUUUAGAUUUUUGUUUUUUAGUUGUGCAUCCAAAUUGUGGUGCUAUUUUAUUUUUGCAACAUGAUAAAUUUUUAUUUAGUACUUUUUCCAUUUUUAAUUUUUCUUUUUGGUUUUCACAUAGUUGUAUGAACCAUUGAUUUAAAAAUUUUAUUCUAGAUCCUAAAGUAUCUAUUAUUCCUUCAUUAUUCCAAUCCUUUAUUACGUUUGUACUAAAUGGUUCUGGUAAUUUUGUAUAAUAUUGUUUUCUUAUUUCUUUUGCUUCGUCUAAAUUGUAUUUAGCUUUGUAAUAAUAUUCUUUAAAUGCGCAAGUAUAUUCUUCUAAGUAACACAUUUUACAUAUAGCUAAUUUUGUCAUAAGUUGUCUAUUUAUUAUUUUUUCUCUAUUUUGUUCUCUUAUAUCUGUAGUCAUGCCUCCAAAUUCAUUUCUUAUUGCUGAUUCAUAUUUAUCUAGUAUAUCUAUAUUUGUUGCUGAUGCAGAUCCAUCCAUUUUCUUAUCAUUCCUAAGUACUUCUAAACUUUCCGAGGGUAGAUUUUCUAUCCAUAAUUUUGUUGUUCCUACAAAUGUUCUUUCUAUGUAUCUUGGUGUUUUUGCUGUUUCUAUUUUAUUGUCUAUUAACUGUUUAGACAUAUUUCCUAUCCAUAUUAAUAUUGCUUUAUUUAUAUCUGCGACACAAUCUAAAUCUAAAAAAUUGUAUUGUUCAUUUGCUGGUUUAGGUGUCCAAUUUUUAUUUAAUCUACUGUUCCAUAUUGCAUUAUUUCUAUCUGAUUGUUGAUAGCUCUCUGUAUAAUAAGUUGGUGGUGUUCUCCUAGGACUAUUUCUGGGACUAUUAUCUGGGGUUUUAACUCUUGACGUACUAGGUCUAUUCAUAUCUCCUGUGUUUAUCUCUAAUUUUUUCGAUUUAUUUAUCUGUUCUAGAAUUUCUGUAUAUGUUUCACUUAUAUCACUUAUUUCUGAUUGUUGGUCAUUUUCAUUUCCAUCUAUUUCAUUCACUUCAAUAUCUUUAUUUAGAUCUUCAUUUAGUUUUUGUUCCAUUUGUUUUAUUUCAUUUGUUAAUUCUAGCUCUUUAUCUUUUUCUUUUUGUUUAUUUUCAUAUAAUAAUUUUAACCUAGCUAAUUCUUUUUCUAAUUCACUUAUUCUUGUAUUUUUUAUUUCUUCUAAAUUUUGUACUUCUUGUUUUGCUUGUGUUUUUAUUUUUUCGAUUUCUCUUGAUUUAUCUAUUUCUUCAUUUUCUUUUGUUAUUCUUACCAUAGCUGUUAAACUAUCUUCUAAUUUUGCUGUUUCUUUUUCUAGCAUUAAAUAUAAGUUAUUUCCUAUUUUCUUGUAUCUUCUUCCUAAAUUUGAAAAUACUAUUUUUAUUAUCAUUCCGUCUUGGUUUUCAUAUGUUUUUUCGUCUACUGCAAAUUCUUCUUUGUUCAUUAUGAUCUAUGUAUUAUAUUAUGUUGUAAUUCAUAUUCAAGACAAUCUAAUUCUAAUUCUAACGUUAAUAUAUCUUUUCUUUGUGCUAGUAUUGAUUUAUUACAUACUCCUGCUAAUAUGUUUUCUUCUAGUCUUCUUUUUCUAUGUUGUAAUUCUUGUUCUUUUUCAACCAUUAUUUCCAUUAUUUCUUCUAUUAAUUGUUGUUUAUAGAUUUCUUUGUUCAUACUGUUUUUUCAAAUAGCAGACAUAUUUAUAUUCUAUUUUUGAAAUUAUGUUUAUCAAUUGAUUUUUCCUAUCAUUAUCUGUUUUGACUAGUUGUGAUAGUUCAUAUUCUAUAUAUAAAGAUCUUAAUUUUUUCCAUAUUUUUCUUAUCUUUUUAUCUAUCUUAGUUCUUUUUAUUUUAGUAUUUUUAUUUUUAUUUAUCAUGGCUUUUUAUAUAAUAUUUUAAAAAGCCUACUUAAUUUAUCUGGAUAUCUAAUCUUUUUUAACCUGUAAUUCCUACCAUAUCGCUUUAGCCAAUAUUCAGUCAUAUUUAAUCUCCAAUAUCUAAAUCAUCAUAUAAAUCAUACAUAUCAUAAUAAAGCUCAUUUUGUAUACUUUGUAUGGUUAACUCAGUCCAACCUUGGGUUGUUAUUUCUAUUAUCUCAUAUGUUAAUAAUUUAUUAUAAAUUUCUCUUUUUAUAUCAAUAUUCAAAUUUUUUAGUAUAUAGAAUAAUAAUAUCUUAUAAUCAACAUCAUCGUUUAAUAGGUAGGUUUCCAUUUUUAUUAUUUUUAUUUUUCACUAAAAUUUUAUUCCUUUCAACCUCUUAAAAAAUUAUACUUGCUUAUUAUGCAAAAAUAAUGAUUUAAUAAUCAUCUAGUCUGGUCACUACUACAGUUUUCUUCUUUGAUUAGUUACCCUAACAGCGCCUCAACUUUGUUUACUCCCCUAAACGGCCUUCUCUGCCUACCGGUUUCAACCUUAGGAUGGCAUAGUCUGGCAAUACUUGUUUGAAGAAUAUUUCUGUAGCAAACUUUCUAAAGAUGGUUAUUAUAACAUUAUUCAAACAUUAUAAACAAUUAUAAUUAACAAGAGAUUUUCAGGAAUAAAUUAAUUUAGCUACUCAUAAAUAUAAAAUGGUAUACCUGUUCUUGUAGAUCAUCUGUCAUAGUUGAUUUGUUUUCCAUAGUUAUUUAAUUAACUAGCUCUGAUACCAAUGGAGGGGAUGGAAGCGUAAAGAGAAUAUUCAGAAAGAUGAGAGAUGUAAGGAUGAAGGUGUGUUUUAUUUAUGAGGAAAGCUCCUCUAUUUAUACACAAAAUUUACAAACUUUUGGCUAAAAGUGGCCGACACAUACUUUACACAUGGCCUCUCUUUAUUCGGCCGACACAAGAAAACAAAGCAGUUAAACGUACUCUGUGUAUUUCUGGUUCAGUAUGGAUCAAAUAUUUGAGAGACUUAAGUAUUUCUUGUAGUAAUUUUUCUCGCCAUGCUGAGCACAAGUUACUUAAAAAAUGGCAAUGGAAACACGAACUUGUCUAGUUCAUUAAUGAUAUCACAAAGUGGUUAUCUCAGUCUUUGUAGAGUGGAAGUUAAUAUGACAGUGAACUUACAUGUAGCAGCGAAUUAUUGAUAGGCAACAAGCUACCCCAACCAGAACGGCUUUGGCCAUAGUGAACUUGCGAUGAUUAAUUCAAAAAUUAGGACCUUUCUUAGCUCGAAUACACAUCAUACACUACGUACACUAGUCUUGAUAUUAUACUGUAAAGGGGAAUACACUAUUCAGGGCAGAAACAUAAAUUAAGGAGUUGAGUCUGCAGGGGAAAAACAAUUAUCAUUGAUUCAUUUCCUCAAGUCUGAACGGUUGUUGUAGUAUAAAUUGAUAUCACACCCAUUAUUUCAAUGUUCAUUAGCCUAAAGAUAUUACAUUAUUGUAUCCACAUGAGAAACAUUGUUCAAACUAUCAAAGAUGUAAUCGCCAAAAUUACAGUCAUGCAGAAAUUGCUAGGCUUAAUUCAUCAGAAAUCAACCUUAUAGAGCAGAUGUAUACAUAAGUUCUCCAUUGUAUAUAAAUUUCUAGCAUAGUCUAUUUCAUUGAAGAAAUUUUAUGAACAUAAAGAGAGAACAAGCUCUUAAAUUAUGUGUGUCAAAUCACAUAGCAAAACAACUAAUUCGAGCAUGCUAUAAGGAAUACCAAAACGAAGAAGCAAAUCCAGUAAACCAAAGUAAAAUCAAAGUGCAAGAGAUAUUUCCGGAUUCAUCGAAACAACCAAAUUAACAUCAGGUUUAAACAAAAGGUAUCAAUAAAAUUAGUAAAUAGAACAUUAAACAAUACAUAGACCAAGCAUAUGGUGGCGAAAAGAUACACCUCCAGUUUUUGGUAGAUCCGAGAGGAAAAACUUCAAAUAAUGAAAACCCAGAGAAUGAACAAAUGGGAAACAAGCAACAACCCAAAUUAGUAGGCAUACAGAGAAGGUGUACCUUAUUGUCAUUCUAAAUAAGUGAAGGUUUUUACCUUCUUGUUUGGAGGAGCAAAUCUAUAGGGAAUUGGAAUGAAACGUUCGUGUUCGCAUUAUGGCAAAAAAUGAAUCUGUUGUUUUCCAUGUAACAUAGAGGAAACAAACCUUUCAGGAUAACAAACGUGACUUUUAUACAUGGAACAUAAAGGGAAGUGAUAAGAGCUCUUCAGAAUAACGAAGAGGAAGAUAUAAGAUCCCAGAGAAAAAGAACGAAGAACGGGAGAAGGGGAAAUUACCGACCUACCCUUCUCUUGAAUCCAAC